GAUGAACGCUGGCGGCGUGCCUAAUACAUGCAAGUCGAGCGAACAGACGAGGAGCUUGCUCCUCUGACGUUAUCGGCGGACGGGUGAGUAACACGUGGAUAACCUACCUAUAAGACUGGGAUAACUUCGGGAAACCGGAGCUAAUACCGGAUAAUAUAUUGAACCGCAUGGUUCAAUAGUGAAAGACGGUUUUGCUGUCACUUAUAGAUGGAUCCGCGCCGCAUUAGCUAGUUGGUAAGGUAACUGCUUACCAAGGCAACGAUGCGUAGCCGACCUGAGAGGAUGAGCAGCCAGACUGGGACGGAGACACGGCCCGGACUCCUACGGGAGGCAGCAGUGGGGAAUAUUUGACAAUGGGCGAAAGCCUGAUCCAGCAAUGCCGCGUGAGUGAUGAAGGCCUUAGGGUUGUAAAGCUCUUUUACCCGGGAUGAUAAUGACAGUACCGGGAGAAUAAGCUCCGGCUAACUCCGUG
Molecule: ribosomal RNA, 472 nt
Filed under: uncultured bacterium
Lineage: Bacteria
Description: partial 16S ribosomal RNA
Rfam family: Bacterial small subunit ribosomal RNA
Source: RNAcentral